RNAcentral lists this ribosomal RNA (460 nucleotides) under uncultured bacterium. RNAcentral describes it as "bacterial SSU rRNA". It matches the Rfam family "Bacterial small subunit ribosomal RNA", at positions 460 to 920 of the family's 1533-position model. The record is from RNAcentral.
AGAACGCGUAUGACGGUACCCUCGAAGGAAGCACUGGCUAACUCCGUGCCAGCAGCCGCGGUAAUACGGAGAGUGCAAACGUUGUUCGGAAUUAUUGGGCGUAAAGGGCGCGUAGGCGGUCUGGUAAGUCGGAUGUGAAAGCCCGGGGCUCAACCCUGGAAGUGCGUUCGAAACUGCUGGACUUGAGUUCAGGAGGGAGAGGUGGAAUUCCUGGUGUAGGGGUGAAAUCCGUAGAUAUCAGGAGGAACACCGGUGGCGAAGGCGACCUCUUGGCCUGUAACUGACGCUGAGGCGCGAAGGCGUGGGGAGCAAACAGGAUUAGAUACCCUGGUAGUCCACGCGGUAAACGAUGCUCACUGGGUGCUGGUGGUAGACGCUGUCAGUGCCGUAGCUAACGCGAUAAGUGAGCCGCCUGGGGAGUACGGUCGCAAGAUUAAAACUCAAAGGAAUUGACGAGGGC